Molecule: non-coding RNA, 392 nt
Organism: Cicer arietinum (chickpea)
Lineage: Eukaryota; Viridiplantae; Streptophyta; Magnoliopsida; Fabales; Fabaceae
Source: RefSeq, a predicted model, not a curated record
UAUGCCUCUCCAUCUUUUUAAUCAUUUUCUGUUAUGAUGACUCUUUGAGGUCUAAUAAUCAGGUUAAAAUCUUACUUGCAUGCCUUCUGAGCAGCCCUUUAUAGCAGUUUUGGCUUGAAACAGACAUAUCAUCAAGACAUCAACAUAAAAUCAGGAACUAAAACACUAGAGAGAUUCGGCAUUUUAAAUGGUUGCCAAUGUACACUUGUGGCAGGCUAAAAUGGUCUGUUUUCAAUGUUGACAUUAGUGUUUGCAUUUUAUUUCUUAUGUGUCUUUCUUUUUAAAUACCGAUAUGUAACAUCUUAUGCUAGUUAUCCAAUGAUGGUUUGUUUAUCUGUCCAUUUGAUUGCAAUAAACUAGUGGGAAGUUGAAAGCAUCUGCUGCUUUUGCCA